AGUUGAGCGGAAAGGCCCUUGGGGGUACUGGAGCAUUGACCCGGUGAGUAACAGAAGAGUAACUUGCGUCUGAGUUAAGGAUAAGAAUGGGAAACUGGGUCUAAUACCGGAUACAAGUCAAUGUGGCAUGACAUGUGGGUGGAAAGUUUUUUCGGUUGGGGAUGGGCUCACGGCCUAUCAGCUUGUUGGUGGGGUAGUGGCCUACCAAGGCAACGACUGGUAGCCGGCCUGAGAGGUGAACCGGCCACAAUGGGACUGAGACACGGCCCAGACUCCUAUUGGAGGCAGCUGUGGG
Molecule: ribosomal RNA, 295 nt
Filed under: uncultured bacterium
Lineage: Bacteria
Description: partial 16S ribosomal RNA
Rfam family: Bacterial small subunit ribosomal RNA
Source: RNAcentral